RNAcentral lists this ribosomal RNA (846 nucleotides) under uncultured bacterium. RNAcentral describes it as "bacterial SSU rRNA". It matches the Rfam family "Bacterial small subunit ribosomal RNA", at positions 28 to 896 of the family's 1533-position model. The record is from RNAcentral.
GAUGAACGCUGGCGGCGUGCCUAACACAUGCAAGUCGAACGCCCUGUCUCGCAAGAGGCAGGGAGUGGCGGACGGGUGAGUAACACGUGGGUCAUCUGCCGUGAGGUGAGGAAUACCGGCGAGAAAUCGCCGACAAGACCGCAUAGGCUCGGUGCAAGCUGAGCAAAGCUCCCGCCAGGGGGCGCCACACGAGGAGCCCGCGCCCGAUUAGCUAGCUGGUGGAGUCAUGGUUCACCAGGGCGACGAUCGGUAGCUGGUCUGAGAGGACGAUCAGCCACACUGGGAUUGAGAACGGCCCAGACUCCUACGGGGGGCAGCAGUGAGGAAUUUUCGUCAAUGGGGGCAACCCUGAACGAGCAACGCCGCGUGCAGGAAGAAGGUUUUCGGAUCGUAAACUGCUUUUCCCAGGGACGAGAAGGGACGGUACCUGGGGAAGAAGCCCCGGCUAACUACGUGCCAGCAGCCGCGGUAAUACGUAGGGGGCAAGCGUUGUCCGGAGUUACUGGGCGUAAAGCGCACGCAGGCGGUUCUUUCAGUUCAAAGUGACAGUCGUCGGCUCAACUGACGAAGGACUGGGAAGACGGGAGAACUUGAGGGCUUCAGAAGGACACGGAAUUCCGGGUGGAGUGGUGAAAUGCGUAGAUAUCCGGAGGAACACCAACAGCGAAGGCAGUGUCCUGGGAAGUCUCUGACGCUCAGGUGCGAAAGCCAGGGGAGCGAACGGGAUUAGAUACCCCGGUAGUCCUGGCCGUAAACGAUGACCACCAGGCGUGGGGGGUAUCGACCCCCUCCGUGCCGGAGCUAACGCGGUAAGUGGUCCGCCUGGGGAGUACGGUCGCAAGAUUA